This 1526-nucleotide long non-coding RNA is filed under the name Marmota monax (woodchuck). Lineage: Eukaryota; Metazoa; Chordata; Mammalia; Rodentia; Sciuridae. The record is from RNAcentral.
GAAGGUUUUCAGGGACAGUGCCAGUCAGGGACUUGGGGGAGGCCCUGACAUCAUAUAGCAACACUGUUCCAGGCAAGGUGUGUUUUCUGUAUUUUAUGUCAUUUAAUCCUUGUACUGCAGACUAUUUUACUGCAAGCCAUUGUGGUUCAUGGACAUGUCUUCCCUUCUCACCCAAGAAGCAUGAGGGUAGGUGACCACAUGGGCCCAGUGAGGCAGGGGGAGAGGGAACCCUGGGCCCAUGGACACAGGGUCAGCCUCAGGCCACUCUCCGGGGCUCCUCUUCCUGCUGCCCUACACCUUGUCCCAACCACAUCUCUCCCCCGAGUCCACCUCCCUUUCCACUUCUCUGGUUUUCACUCACCGGCCUGCCUGGUUUGGGUUUCUAUGUUUAAUCUUCUCUCUCCUCCCCUUCUACACACAGGAAACAGCCUGCUUGGUGAUAACUUCUUCAAAGCAUUCUCAGGGAAGGACCCCAAGGUCAAGGGGAUUCUGAACCUUCAGCCCACUUGAAGCCCCCGAGGCAGAGCCUGGGCUUCAGGGUUGCAGGGCCUCACUUGGCCUUAUUGGGCCUGAGAAGCCCACCUGGGUUACAAGACACCUCCCACCUCAACCCUGGGCUCCCCUGCAAAGGCCUGGCUGGAGUCACACCUGGAGCAAAAGACUCUCAUGGUCAAAGAAGAAAGCAUAGGCCUCAUCUCCUGCCCUGGGGCAAAACUGCUGGAUACCAGAGCCUUGCUCCCAGGACCUGGACCGGUCACUCCCAGUCCCUGCAAGCCCACGGCAGCCGGCCCACAGGGCUUUCCUUCUUCCUCUGGAAUUGGCUUUGGCCUUGAGAAGGGGAGAACGAUAGGGCCUAGCACUGUCUGCAUGGGGAGUCAGAGACGAGAGGCUGAGCUUCGGGCAGGUGUAAUCUCCGGAGGUUUUCUGUGAGAGCGGGCAUGGUUCAGCCCAAGGCCUUGGAGGGCACUCAGCGCAGGGACACACAGGCAGAGGUAAAGACGGGUGUGAGUGUGCAAUGGCAGGAGUGUUCGUAAGCACAGAGUUGGACUCUGCUGAGCCCCUGGAAGGCUGGCUGUGUGGCCCAGUUAGUAUGGUGAGGCCCUGCCUGGGUCGCCAGCACCCAGCACCACAAGAGCAAAAGGACCUGGGACACCGUAAAACAGACCUGGCCUGCCGUCCCCGGCCCUGCAGCUGACAUUUUAAGGGAAACAGACAAUAAAGACAAAUAGGUAAACAGUGUUGCAUGUUAGAUGGUGACAGUGCCACAGUGCCACGGGGACAGUAAGAGAGACAAGGGGUAAAGAGGGAAGGGGUGGGCUGAACGCUGUGGGGCUGCAGAGCCGGGGGUGCGGCCUUCCCUUGGACGCCCGUGUAGAAGCUGGGACUUGACCGUGAGCAGAUGUGGGUCAGAUGACAGUGACAGAGUAGGGUUUAGGGUGAUUUCCUCACAGUGCUGCUCAGGGAUCGGGGGUUCUGAGUGCUAAGAUGUGUCCGUGGCCCCCUGAGCAGGCAUUGGCGGGCCAGUG